UUUAAAAAAAUAUAUAUUAAUGUACCAAAAGGUUAUGACCGUUUAAAAAUCACGGGGAGGGAGGAGUUAGUUUUUUAUAAGGGGAUGAAAUGUAAAUACUAACUACUUAUCUAUAACUUUGCUAAUGAUGAGGGAUUAAAGUGUAAUCUAGAUGAGAGAAUUAAAUUGAUGUUGUUGGGCUUUAAUCAAUUGUACACUAAGGCAUCAUCUACUUGUACCUUUUAAUCCACACGUCAAUACUGACCAAGAUAACUAUCGAAACGUCGACAAAAAUGAGUAGGUUGUCACGAUACUUUUGGAAUUUUGUAAAACAUUAUCGUUUAUAAGAUAUGGCAAGAAUAUGUAAAAAAAUUAUAAGUUUGUUGUGGAGAGGAA
Molecule: long non-coding RNA, 375 nt
Filed under: Helianthus annuus (common sunflower)
Lineage: Eukaryota; Viridiplantae; Streptophyta; Magnoliopsida; Asterales; Asteraceae
Description: sRNA HanXRQr2_Chr02g0074401
Source: RNAcentral